CAGUAGCCGCGGUAAUACGGAGGGUGCAAGCGUUACUCGGAAUCACUGGGCGUAAAGGACGCGUAGGCGGAUUAUCAAGUCUCUUGUGAAAUCUAACGGCUUAACCGUUAAACUGCUUGGGAAACUGAUAAUCUAGAGUAAGGGAGAGGCAGAUGGGAUUCUUGGUGUAGGGGUAAAAUCCGUAGAGAUCAAGAAGAAUACCCAUUGCGGAAGCGAUCUGCUGGAACUUAACUGACGCUAAUGCGUGAAAGCGUGGGGAGCGAACAGGAUUAGAUACCCCCGUAGUCCCUGUCUCUUAUAC
Molecule: ribosomal RNA, 301 nt
Filed under: uncultured bacterium
Lineage: Bacteria
Description: partial 16S ribosomal RNA
Rfam family: Bacterial small subunit ribosomal RNA
Source: RNAcentral